This is a non-coding RNA of Cordylochernes scorpioides, 73 nucleotides long. The record is from the annotation of a GenBank genome assembly. NCBI's taxonomy places the organism in Eukaryota, Metazoa, Arthropoda, Arachnida, Pseudoscorpiones, Chernetidae.
UCCAGGGUAGCCUAGUGGACAUGGCAUCUGCCCAGUAAGCGGAACACUGUGGGUUUGAUUCCCAUCCCUGAAU